AACCAGAACCUGUUGCAAUUCACGGGGAGAUCAAAGGAUGAUCCGUGGUGGUGGAGAUGACGGCGGAAUUUGGCAACGAUCUCUUAAGCAAUUGUGGGAAUUGCUUUGGGCAGUUGUGGAGGGUUGAUGGAUGGCUGUGGAAGGGCAGCGAGAUGCUAAGAAUGUUGCUCUGAUACCAGGUGUUAGAACCCUUGCAGAUUCUAAACUUGGGGUU
This 214-nucleotide long non-coding RNA is filed under the name Musa acuminata (dwarf banana). RNAcentral's name for it is "long non-coding RNA (MACU_LNC009046)". Lineage: Eukaryota; Viridiplantae; Streptophyta; Magnoliopsida; Zingiberales; Musaceae. The record is from RNAcentral.